Homo sapiens (human) is the source of this 1129-nucleotide long non-coding RNA. Ensembl annotates it as long intergenic non-protein coding RNA 2654. Lineage: Eukaryota; Metazoa; Chordata; Mammalia; Primates; Hominidae. The record is from Ensembl.
AUCUUCACAUUCCCUUUUCAGGAGGCUGGUAUCUCUCUUUCCCACGUAAGUCCAUCUCUUCAGUUUCAGGGAUGGAGAGAGGAAGAUGUAACCUUGGAAGCGGAAGGACACAAUUUAUAGGAUAAUCCCACUCAUGACAAAAGAGGAAGCUUUGGAGGGUGGAGAAUAACCCAGUUGAAAAUCUACAAGCAAUGCUGUCCACAUCCCAAAUAGACUGGUCAAAAAGCCUUCAUCCCGUCAGUCACUGACAUCAACUUCAUCCAAAUCAGACUCCUAAAAACCCGGCCUAACUUAUGUGUCAUGCAAAGGAUGGCUCUUGGAAAAAUGCAAAGCAGGGGCCGCUAAGGGAGAGAUGUGAAGGUCAAGGAAGCUCUGAGCUCCUGACAGCCGCCCUUCCAGCCUUCUCCUGCCUUCCAUAGAGAGAUGCUAUGGACUCUUGGUCCAGAGACUCAAAUUCAAGGAAAAGAAGAGGCAACAUUUGCAGUGUUGAUCCUUGAGUUGAACAAAGAGUGGUCAGGAGAAGAAACCAACAAGAAAUGUAACCUACCUCCAGAACUCAGGAACUCAGGUACCCUUAAGGAUAUCAGAAACAAUGAAAUAUGGAUUGGCAGAAGCAUCUUCACCACCAUCUUCAGAUGUAAUUAAUGCAGCUGUUGAAUUUGGUUGACUAUCCACCUAUAAUUACCACAUUGCCCAUUACAGAUUUUUGCUGCCUUUUCUUGCCUCCUUUUCAUUUUUACAUCCACUUAUUCCCUACAGAAAUGACAGAUAAUCAGCAUUUUUGUUUUCUUGUUAUGUUGUCCUGAUAGUACAGCUACAAAUGGAUUUGAUGUGCUGAAUAAUGGUCUACUAGGCCUAAAAAUGAAAGUCUAGACCCUUAGUCAAAAAUAACUUGGAUCUAUGUGGUACCAAGAAAAGAGGAAUUAUAAGAAAAAGAAUAUUAGUUUAAUGUUCUGUAAAUUUUUUUCUUAACCUAUUCUGUCCAGUAUUUACUACUUGGCUGCAUUCCUAAAACAUAAAUUUCACAGGGGCAGGAGUCUUUGUCCAUUUUGCUCAUUAAUGUGUUAGGAAUACUAAAAAGAGUGUCUAGCGGGGUAGUCACAUAAUAAAUACCUGUUGCAUGAACAAA